This 452-nucleotide ribosomal RNA is filed under the name uncultured bacterium. Its description in RNAcentral is "bacterial SSU rRNA". It matches the Rfam family "Bacterial small subunit ribosomal RNA", at positions 29 to 506 of the family's 1533-position model. The record is from RNAcentral.
GCGAACGCUGGCGGCAGGCCUAAUACAUGCAAGUCGAGCGCCCGCAAGGGAGCGGCAGACGGGAGAGUAACACGUGGGAACGUACCCUUCAGUUCGGAACAACCAAGGGAAACUUUGGCUAAUACCGGAUACGUCCGAAAGGAGAAAGAUUUAUCGCUGAAGGAUCGGCCCGCGUCUGAUUAGCUAGUUGGUGGGGUAAUGGCCCACCAAGGCGACGAUCAGUAGCUGGUCUGAGAGGAUGAUCAGCCUCACUGGGACUGAGACACGGCCCAGACUCCUACGGGAGGCAGCAGUAGGGAAUAUUGGACAAUGGGGGCAACCCUGAUCCAGCCAUGCCGCGUGAGUGAUGAAGGCCUUAGGGUUGUAAAGCCCUUUCGACGGGGAGGAAGGCACCGGCGCGAAUAGCGUUGGUGAUUGACGUAACCUGGAGAAGAAGCACCGGCUAACUCCGU